AUUGAACGCUGGCGGCAUGCCUUACACAUGCAAGUCGAACGGCAGCGGACCUUCGGGUGCCGGCGAGUGGCGAACGGGUGAGUAAUAUAUCGGAACGUACCUUUCAGUGGGGGAUAACGUAGCGAAAGUUACGCUAAUACCGCAUAUUCUGUGAGCAGGAAAGCAGGGGAUCGCAAGACCUUGCGCUGAUUGAGCGGCCGAUAUCAGAUUAGCUAGUUGGUGAGGUAAAGGCUCACCAAGGCGACGAUCUGUAGCGGGUCUGAGAGGAUGAUCCGCCACACUGGAACUGAGACACGGUCCAGACUCCUACGGGAGGCAGCAGUGGGGGAAUUUUGGACAAUGGGCGCAAGCCUGAUCCAGCCAUGCCGCGUGAGUGAAGAAGGCCUCGG
RNAcentral lists this ribosomal RNA (389 nucleotides) under uncultured bacterium. Its description in RNAcentral is "bacterial SSU rRNA". It matches the Rfam family "Bacterial small subunit ribosomal RNA", at positions 30 to 420 of the family's 1533-position model. The record is from RNAcentral.